AUGAUUUUGCUCCUCACUAACUCUCUCUGAUGGUAUUAAUGGGAAGAAGGGUGGAGUUCAGCAGUGCCACCUAAAUUACCCUAGACAAACACCAGAUUUCUAUUUCUAUUGUGUAGCAUCGUUGUCUAACACUUAAUGUGGUUUUACCAGGGGAAAGUUGAGGUGAGGUGUGAAGGCUGGGGCGGCACCAGAGGGCAAUUAGUGGAUUCAAGGCAUUUGGGUGCCUCUUAGGGACAGAGUUCUCCCUGCUCUCUGGAUUUAAGAGCUGCUCUUUGCUCUCUAGUGAGAAACAAAGUUGGGGGUGGGGAAUCCCUAUCUUAGCUGUUGCAAUCCCUGGGCUGCUUCAACGUUAAUAACAUUCCAAAAAUGCAACAGACUUUGUUUUUGCUGCUAUCGCGUAUGCCAGGCAUCUGGGGUGAGAGGAGGAAAAUGGAAACCUGAAAGCGUGCGAAACUGUGGAAUGAUCGAGGAAACUGAGGCUCAGAAAGAAGAUAAACAACUAGGUCAAGGUGGCAACAGGUGAACUGUGGCAGAGCGUGAUUUGCAUCCAGGUUCACCUGCCUCCAAAGCUUAUACUCCUUUCCGUGUGCUACACUACAUGAGUACCUCCCAAUCUUUGGAGCCAAGGUAUAAGCCCUAGAAGCACGUGUUGGCCCUUAAAAGUGGCCAUUUCAAAGGCACGAUGCUCCUUUGCUUGCAAAAAUUCUUGUUUGAUUUGUUAAAGGUCUAUUGUUUCAUUGGUCCCAUCUCAUUUUAUUUCAGAUAGAAAAUGUUUACAACUGAAAUAAUGGAAAGUUAUCCAUGAGCGAACGUGGCAAAUGUUGACAUUACCAUUUGGAACAAUGAGUCUCAGGAACUGGAGGUGGGAGGGGUGCUUGUGCUCACCCACAAGAAUCUCCAGGGCUAUGGCUGGGGGCCUGGACUGAAAACAAGGCAGUGCUUUCUUCUUGUGCUUUUGUGUCCCCUGAUAUUUAAUUUAUUUUGAAUUUCAGAAAAUGAAAGAAGGGCAUGAGACGUUUUAAAAUUUAUUAAAAGGUUUUCCAAAGCUUGUAAAAUACUAUAUAAGAAGACAUCCAUUUCAAUAUUAUACAUAUCUUAGCCUUUGUACAGGAAAACACUGACUGGUAAAAGCUAGAGGUACAGAGGUCAAAGAAAACAUAUCUUUCAAU
This 1169-nucleotide long non-coding RNA is filed under the name Callithrix jacchus (white-tufted-ear marmoset). RNAcentral's name for it is "lncRNA (ENSCJAG00000053560.2)". The record is from RNAcentral. Lineage: Eukaryota; Metazoa; Chordata; Mammalia; Primates; Cebidae.